AGCAUGAUUUCUGGAUCAUAUGGUAGGAGUCAGUUUAGUUGUAUAAGAAACUGCCAAACUGUCUUCCACAAUUUUGUACCAUUUUGUGCUUCCACUAGCAAU
Molecule: microRNA precursor, 102 nt
Filed under: Marmota monax (woodchuck)
Lineage: Eukaryota; Metazoa; Chordata; Mammalia; Rodentia; Sciuridae
Source: RNAcentral